This is a long non-coding RNA of Antechinus flavipes (yellow-footed antechinus), 949 nucleotides long. RefSeq lists it as uncharacterized. The transcript has 3 exons. The record is from RefSeq and is a predicted model, not a curated record. Lineage: Eukaryota; Metazoa; Chordata; Mammalia; Dasyuromorphia; Dasyuridae.
UUUCCGUAUGAUGGUCCCCAAAAAUGUAUUUUGUGGUGCCACAUGACCUCUGCGAACAGGCAUGUUUACACCCGAUCUUCGGAUCAGUUCUCUCCCUGAACACAAGAGUUCUCCAGUGAUCUACACGGCUACAGCCCAGACCACUGAGCGAGCUUCUCUUUGUGACAAAUCAUCCUCUUUUGAAAUACAGAAAUCUCUUCCCAUUAGCACCACUUCUAGACACACGCUUUUCCCACUGGAGCAAAAUCCAUUCCCCACACCUUCCUGAGGGGGACCUCGCACCGGACUGUCGUUUGCUCCGGGCUCGGCGCCACGGUAUCCUGCAAGGGCUUCCUCUUUGCAAAGCCUGCCCCCGCUACAGAGCAUGCCCAGCUUCACUGCUCGAGCCUCCGAGGAGUUGAAAUGCGCGGGUUGUUGCACUUGUUCAGGUGUUGGUCUCGGUGGGCACCAGGGAAAGGGAAGAGGCCACCAGAGCUUGCGGUCCAAAACAGAGAUGGAGCCUGGAAAGGGUGAGGCAGGACGAAGGAGUGAAGGAACAAAAGCCCUGGUUUACCUUGGAGGAAAAGACAGAACAGAGACACGACUACCUUGACCACUUUGAAUUCUCCUUCCACCCAUAGACAACAUUGGAGCAGAUUCACUCCCUUCUUCCCGGAUUUCUUCUAUAUGUUCUCUUCCCUUUAAGCCCCCAAGUACACCAACUUCUUUGAUUAUUUUGAACUUAACUUUUUUUCCCCCUCCAGAAGGAAACUUGGUAGCACUGUUGUGAUUUAUUUAUGAAGAGCCAUGCUAUAACUAUCACUCAGCAAAUCAGAUCUGUCCACAUUUCUCAACAGAGGAUUUAGUUUUUUGAGUAUACCAGGUCACAGUCCUUUCCAUUUUUUUUGUACCCUUCUUCCCUCUUCAGCCUACUCAGAUUCGAUUUUGAUUAAACAUGUCUUUCUCUUUA